This 685-nucleotide ribosomal RNA is filed under the name uncultured Alphaproteobacteria bacterium. RNAcentral's name for it is "bacterial SSU rRNA". It matches the Rfam family "Bacterial small subunit ribosomal RNA", at positions 28 to 759 of the family's 1533-position model. Lineage: Bacteria; Pseudomonadati; Pseudomonadota; Alphaproteobacteria. The record is from RNAcentral.
AACGACCGCUGGCGGCAUGCCUAAUACAUGCAAGUCGAACGAGAUCUUCGGAUCUAGUGGCGCACGGGUGCGUAACGCGUGGGAAUCUGCCCUUGGGUUCGGAAUAACUUCUGGAAACGGAAGCUAAUACCGGAUGAUGACGUAAGUCCAAAGAUUUAUCGCCCAAGGAUGAGCCCGCGUAGGAUUAGCUAGUUGGUGGGGUAAAGGCUCACCAAGGCGACGAUCCUUAGCUGGUCUGAGAGGAUGAUCAGCCACACCGGGACUGAGACACGGCCCAGACUCCUACGGGAGGCAGCAGUAGGGAAUAUUGGACAAUGGGCGAAAGCCUGAUCCAGCAAUGCCGCGUGAGUGAUGAAGGCCUUAGGGUUGUAAAGCUCUUUUACCCGGGAUGAUAAUGACAGUACCGGGAGAAUAAGCUCCGGCUAACUCCGUGCCAGCAGCCGCGGUAAUACGGAGGGAGCUAGCGUUGUUCGGAAUUACUGGGCGUAAAGCGCACGUAGGCGGCUAUUCAAGUCAGAGGUGAAAGCCCGGGGCUCAACCCCGGAACUGCCUUUGAAACUAGAUAGCUUGAAUCCAGGAGAGGUGAGUGGAAUUCCGAGUGUAGAGGUGAAAUUCGUAGAUAUUCGGAAGAACACCAGUGGCGAAGGCGGCUCACUGGACUGGUAUUGACGCUGAGGUGCGAAAG